GGCACAGCUGCCCGCUCAGUCGCUGCCCAUGGGAAGGCAUUUCCUUUGCCUGUAGUGGCCUUUCUGACUGUGGUAUGGUGUGGCAUGGCUUCUCAGAACUCUCCUCAGCCUCCCUUGUCCCUCAGAAGUACAAGCACUUUCCUGAACUCUUGGUGUCGCGGGCACGUCUUUGUGGUAAUGAGCUUUUCUUUCCUCACCUCAGUUGGCUCCGGCUCCACGAGCUCUGGUGGACUGACUGGAAGCUACAUCCCUUCCUUUCUGAAGAAGGAAGUCGGCUCUGUCAUGCAGAGGGUCCAGCUGGCGCCUCUCGCAGCCCCUUCCCCCGGCUACUCUUCCCUCAAGGCCGUGAGACCUCACCCAGGGAGGCCAUUCUUUCACACCCAGCCUAGGAGCACGCCUGGCUUGAUUCCACGACCUCCAGCUGUGCAGCCUGUGCACGGCAGGAUAGACUGGUCUUCCAAGUACCCAUCUCGGCGGUGACUGUCCCAGCUGACUCCGUUGUACCCCCACAACCACGUGGCGGUGUAAAAGCACCCACACUUACAGCAGUUCUGAACUAACACAUUUCAAUAUUUCUUUUAAAUGUUUUUUUAAACAUUGAUUUGAAUGCAAUACCCUCUUUUUGUAUAAAAUUAUUUUAUUCU
Molecule: long non-coding RNA, 644 nt
Filed under: Rattus norvegicus (Norway rat)
Lineage: Eukaryota; Metazoa; Chordata; Mammalia; Rodentia; Muridae
Description: long non-coding RNA NONRATT027900
Source: RNAcentral